RNAcentral lists this ribosomal RNA (508 nucleotides) under Candida albicans. RNAcentral describes it as "eukaryotic LSU rRNA". The stretch from base 141 to 294 matches the Rfam family "5.8S ribosomal RNA". Lineage: Eukaryota; Fungi; Ascomycota; Pichiomycetes; Serinales; Debaryomycetaceae. The record is from RNAcentral.
UACUGAUUGCUUAUUGCACCACAUGUGUUUUUCUUUGAAACAAACUUGCUUUGGCGGUGGGCCCAGCCUGCCGCCAGAGGUCUAAACUUACAACCAAUUUUUUAUCAACUUGUCACACCAGAUUAUUACUUAAUAGUCAAAACUUUCAACAACGGAUCUCUUGGUUCUCGCAUCGAUGAAGAACGCAGCGAAAUGCGAUACGUAAUAUGAAUUGCAGAUAUUCGUGAAUCAUCGAAUCUUUGAACGCACAUUGCGCCCUCUGGUAUUCCGGAGGGCAUGCCUGUUUGAGCGUCGUUUCUCCCUCAAACCGCUGGGUUUGGUGUUGAGCAAUACGACUUGGGUUUGCUUGAAAGACGGUAGUGGUAAGGCGGGAUCGCUUUGACAAUGGCUUAGGUCUAACCAAAAACAUUGCUUGCGGCGGUAACGUCCACCACGUAUAUCUUCAAACUUUGACCUCAAAUCAGGUAGGACUACCCGCUGAACUUAAGCAUAUCAAAAGCCGGAGGAA